ACGCAAUAGAUACCCAGGUAGUCCACGCCCUAAACGAUGUCUACUAGUUGUCGGGUCUUAAUUGACUUGGUAAACGCAGCUAAACGCGUGAAGUAGACCGCCUGGGGAGUACGGUCGCAAGAUUAAAACUCAAAGGAAUUGACGGGGACCCGCACAAGCGGUGGAUGAUGUGGAUUAAAUUCGAUGCAACGCGAAAAACCUUACCUACCCUUGACAUGGAAGGAAUCCCUGAGAGAUUGGGGAGUGCUCGAAAGAGAACCUUUACACAGGUGCUGCAUGGCUGUCGUCAGCUCGUGUCGUGAGAUGUUGGGUUAAGUCCCGCAACGAGCGCAACCCUUGUCAUUAGUUGCUACGAAAGGGCACUCUAAUGAGACUGCCGGUGACAAACCGGAGGAAGGUGGGGAUGACGUCAAGUCCUCAUGGCCCUUAUGGGUAGGGCUUCACACGUCAUACAAUGGUACAUACAGAGGGCCGCCAACCCGCGAGGGGGUAGCUAAUCCCAGAAAGUGUAUCGUAGUCCGGAUUGUAGUCUGCAACUCG
This 540-nucleotide ribosomal RNA is filed under the name uncultured bacterium. Its description in RNAcentral is "bacterial SSU rRNA". It matches the Rfam family "Bacterial small subunit ribosomal RNA", at positions 772 to 1314 of the family's 1533-position model. The record is from RNAcentral.